UACAGAGGGGGCAAGCGUUGUCCGGAUUUACUGGGCGUACAGCGCGCGCAGGCGGUCGGCAAGGUGCCGUGUGACAACCGGGAGCUUAACUCCCGGAGGCCAGGGUAGACCGGUCGACUGGAGGCAGGGAGAGGGAGGUGGAAUACCCGGUGGAGCGGUGAAAUGCGUAGAGAUCGGGUGGAACACCAGCGGCGAAGGCGGCCUCCUGGCCCUGACCUGACGCUGAGGCGCGAGAGCGUGGGGAGCAAACCGG
RNAcentral lists this ribosomal RNA (253 nucleotides) under uncultured Acidobacteriota bacterium. Its description in RNAcentral is "uncultured Acidobacteria bacterium partial 16S ribosomal RNA". It matches the Rfam family "Bacterial small subunit ribosomal RNA", at positions 524 to 776 of the family's 1533-position model. RNAcentral also lists the same sequence under 1 other name. Lineage: Bacteria; Pseudomonadati; Acidobacteriota. The record is from RNAcentral.